GGGCGCAUAGCUCAGUGGGAGAGCACUGCCUUCACACGGCAGGGGUCGCAGGUUCAAACCCUGCUGCGCCCACCA
This 75-nucleotide transfer RNA is filed under the name Myxococcales bacterium. Its description in RNAcentral is "tRNA-Val". It matches the Rfam family "tRNA". Rfam says of the family: Transfer RNA (tRNA) molecules are approximately 80 nucleotides in length. The record is from RNAcentral. Lineage: Bacteria; Pseudomonadati; Myxococcota; Myxococcia; Myxococcales.